CGCGUAGGCGGUUAUGCUAGUCAGGUGUGAAAUCCCCAGGCUUAACUUGGGAACUGCGCUUGAAACUGCAUAGCUUGAGGCCGGGAGAGGAAAGUGGAAUUCCUGGUGUAGCGGUGAAAUGCGUAGAUAUCAGGAGGAACACCGGUGGCGAAGGCGGCUUUCUGGACCGGUUCUGACGCUGAAGCGCGAAAGCGUGGGAGCAAACG
This 206-nucleotide ribosomal RNA is filed under the name uncultured bacterium. RNAcentral describes it as "partial 16S ribosomal RNA". It matches the Rfam family "Bacterial small subunit ribosomal RNA", at positions 568 to 774 of the family's 1533-position model. The record is from RNAcentral.